AAUGAACGCUGGCGGCGUGCCUAAUACAUGCAAGUCGAACGCUUCACAUAUGUGAAGAGUGGCGAACGGGUGAGUAAUACAUAAGUAACCUGGCCUUUACAGGGGGAUAACUAUUGGAAACGAUAGCUAAGACCGCAUAGGUGUGCAGAUCGCAUGAAGUGCACAUGAAAUAUGCUACGGCAUAGGUAGAGGAUGGACUUAUGGCGCAUUAGCUAGUUGGAGGGGUAACGGCCCACCAAGGCGACGAUGCGUAGCCGACCUGAGAGGGUGACCGGCCACACUGGGACUGAGACACGGCCCAGACUCCUACGGGAGGCAGCAGUAGGGAAUUUUCGGCAAUGGGGGAAACCCUGACCGAGCAACGCCGCGUGAAGGAAGAAGUAAUUCGUUAUGUAAACUUCUGUCAUAGAGGAAGAACGGUGCGUGUAGGGAAUGACAUGCAAGUGACGGUACUCUAUAAGAAAGCCACGGCUAACUACGUGCCAGCCGCCGCAGUAA
This 498-nucleotide ribosomal RNA is filed under the name uncultured bacterium. Its description in RNAcentral is "partial 16S ribosomal RNA". It matches the Rfam family "Bacterial small subunit ribosomal RNA", at positions 29 to 523 of the family's 1533-position model. The record is from RNAcentral.